AUUGCGAAUGAACAAGGAAAUGCUCAGCUUGAAAAAUGGGGCCUUUGGCUUUGAAUUGUAAUUUUGAAAUGUAUUGCCAAUGGAGGCGCAGGUGCAAGCCUAUUGAAAGAAAGCGUCAAUGAGGGUGAGAUUCCUUUUUGUCAUUUGCAGUCCUCCGUGCACGGUAUAUAUUUGACGAGUCACACUCCUCGGCAUUGGAAUGCAAAGUGGGUGGUAAAUUCCAUGUAAAGGUAAAUAUAUUAUUGAGACUGAUAGCAAACAAGUACCAUGAGGGAAAUAUGAAAAGGACUUUGAAAAGAGAAUUAAAAGAGUCUGCAUUUGCUGAACAGAAAGCAAACAGAAUUGAUUUUACUUGGUGAGAUUGUUGUGCUUACUCUAUCAUUUAUAUGGUUGAUGUGGGUGCGAUGGUUCUUACCUUGAAUGUCAGCUUCUAUUUCUGCAAAUCAUUACCCUUGCACAUGAAUGGUAAUUUGCCUGCGGGUAUUGGAAUGCAUGUGUUUGCAAUGAUUUGUGAUUUGACGCAUGUGUUUGGUGAAAUUUGUAUAUGCUCUUUUGUCGAAGGGGAAAGCUUACUUUUUUGAGCAUUGCAAGCCCUUACACAUCAGUGCUGGCAAAAUGUUUCUGCUUGACCCGUCUUGAAACACGGACCAAGGAGUCUAACAGAUGUGCAAGUUCGUGGGUGGCAAACCUUUUUGCGCAAUGAAAGUAUUGGCUGGGAUACUUGCACCAGCAGCCGACCAAUUAGCAGACAGAGGUUUGAGUUUGAGCAUAUCUAUUAGGACCCGAAAGAUGGUGAACUAUGCCUGAACAGAAUGAAUUCAGAGGAAACUCUGAUGGAGGUUCGUAUCGAUACUGACGUGCAAAUCGUUCGUCAUACUUGGGUAUAGGGGCGAAAGACUAAUCGAMCCAUNUAGUAGCUGGUUCCCUNAGAAGUUUCCCUCAGGAUAGCUGGAGUUGCACAGUUUUAUCAGGUAAAGCGAAUGAUUAGAGGAAUUGGGGACACGCUGUCCNUGACCUAUUCUCAAACUUUAAAUGGGUAAGAUGCAAUGGUUGCUUUAUUGAACUUUUGGAAUAAAUGGCAAUAUCAGGUGGGCCAUUUUUGGUAAGCAGAAUCUGGCGAUGAGGGAUGAACCUAACGUUGGGUUAAGGUGCUUAAUUGCUUGCUCAUUAGAUACCAGAAAGGGUGUUGGUUCAUUUUAACAGCAGGACGGUGGUCAUGGAAGUCGAAAUCCGCUAAGGAGUGUGUAACAACUCACCUGCCGAAUGGACUAGCCCCGAAAAUGGAUGGCGCUCAAGCGGGUGACCGAUACCCAACCACUGUUGCAAAUAGUGUCAGUGUGUAGGAGGGCAUGNCGGUUUGUGAUGCA
RNAcentral lists this ribosomal RNA (1367 nucleotides) under Alexandrium lusitanicum. RNAcentral describes it as "LSU rRNA". It matches the Rfam family "Eukaryotic large subunit ribosomal RNA", at positions 86 to 1407 of the family's 3401-position model. Lineage: Eukaryota; Dinophyceae; Gonyaulacales; Pyrocystaceae. The record is from RNAcentral.